GGGGUUGUGGCUCAGUGGUAGAGUGCUCACCUAGCAUGUGUGAGGCCCUGGGUUUGAUUCUCAGCACCA
This 69-nucleotide transfer RNA is filed under the name Marmota monax (woodchuck). It matches the Rfam family "tRNA". From Rfam's summary of the family: Transfer RNA (tRNA) molecules are approximately 80 nucleotides in length. The record is from Rfam by way of RNAcentral. Lineage: Eukaryota; Metazoa; Chordata; Mammalia; Rodentia; Sciuridae. RNAcentral also lists the same sequence under 2 other names.